RNAcentral lists this ribosomal RNA (1362 nucleotides) under Triticum aestivum (bread wheat). RNAcentral's name for it is "partial small subunit ribosomal RNA". The record is from RNAcentral. Lineage: Eukaryota; Viridiplantae; Streptophyta; Magnoliopsida; Poales; Poaceae.
AUGAAUCACGGGGACCCUGGACACCGCUGUAGGUGUUCCCAUGGACCGCGGUGUGCCGGUGCGCCGCCCCAGGAAGGCCUCGCGGCGGCGGCCCUGGACACCCGUGUGCGGCCCCUCCCCAUGGGCGCCGAGGCGGAGUCCAUGCUGCGGCAGAUCGGCGCGUACACGCCCAACCUCGACGGGCACACGGUGACCCUCCUCUCCUGCGUCCACUCCGUCCUCCCUCCUCCGCCCCUCGUCUCCAACCACGCCGCCCUCUCCGCCCUCCUCCCCCCGCGCCAGGACGGCGGCGACGACCGCAUCAGCGACCUCCCCGACAAGCUCCUCCGCGACAUCGUCUCCCGCCUCCCCGUUAAGGACGGCGCGCGCACCGCCGCUCUCUCCUGCCGCUGGCGCGACGUCUGGCGCUCCGUGCCGCUCGUCCUCGUCGACUCCGACCUCCUCCCCGUCCGAACAGGUUCGGGCCUGCAGGUCGCGCACGCGGACGCGCAGCGCGUCGCCUCCGCCGUCACCCGCAUCCUCGAAGCUCACCCGGGCCCCUUCCGCUGCGUCCACCUCAUCUGCAGCUUCCUGGACAAGUGCCCGGACCUGCUCGCGCGGUGGCUCCAGCUCCUCGCCGUCAAGGGCGUCCAGGAACUCGUCCUCGUCAACCGCCCGUGGCCGCUCAACAUGCCCAUCCCUCCCACCUUCUUCGCCAUGACCCUCACCCGCCUGUACCUUGGCGUCUUCGAGUUCCCUGACACGAGGAUCCUCCCGCGCGCCGCGUCAUUCCCACACCUCCGCGAACUCGGCCUCUGCUGCGUGCAGAUCCUGAGGAGGGAGGACAUGGACUUCAUCCUCGCCAGGAGCCCUGUGCUGGAAAUCCUAUGCAUCCAAGUGAACAUGCUGAUGAAACACCUGAUCCUCGUCAGCCGCAGCCUCCGUUGCGUGCAGAUCAUCGAAAGCAUUGAUCUGAGCAUCGCACUGAAAGACGCUCCGAACCUCGAAAGGCUCAUCAUCUGGGCAGCAACGGUCCGCGAUGGCGUGCCCAGGAGUGUCAAGAUUGACCAUGCCCCUGCACUAAGCUUACUUGGCUAUCUGGACCCGGAACGGCACAGCCUAGAAAUCGGCAACACCGUCAUCAAGGCUGGGACAACGGCGAGUCCGAGCACAAUGGUCCCAAGCGUCAAGAUCCUCGGCAUAAGAGUGUGCUUCGGAGUCCGCAACAUUGCUAAGAUGCUGCCCUGCUUCCUCAGAUGCUUUCCCAACGUCGAGAGGCUGCAUCUUGUGGUGACACCACUACCACUUACGUUGGCAUCAAUUUCCAUGUUUGUGCACUUGCAAUCAUCAAUUUAUAUUGCUAACAAUAAUGCUUCCAUUUAG